AAUUCAAGGGUUUUUGCUGCAAAUGAAUUUGCCAUGGCAACACGGAGGAAUGGUGGUUGGUAGUUCGGGAGGGGGAGGGGGGUUGAGCGAGGAGUGAGUGGAGACGCUGUCGCGAGGCAGGAUUGUGUGUGAUAUUGUUGUUGAGAGCGAGGAAGUCGAAAGUCAGGUGAAAGAACAAUUCGAUCGUCGGACUAUCCGCCUUGAGGUUUCUGGUCGUGUAUUGGUUGGUGAAUUCUUCACGGUUUUACAAGGGAAGAGGGUCUUUGGAAAACGUAAGAUA
Molecule: non-coding RNA, 280 nt
Organism: Physcomitrium patens
Lineage: Eukaryota; Viridiplantae; Streptophyta; Bryopsida; Funariales; Funariaceae
Source: RefSeq, a predicted model, not a curated record